CGCCGCAACGGUAAUUCAAUUUAGUACGAGAGGAACCGUUGAUUCAGAUAAUUGGUUUUUGCGGCUGUCUGACCAGGCAGUGCCGCGACGCUACCAUCUGCCGGAUAAUGGCUGAACGCCUCUAAGUCAGAAUCCGUGCCGGAACGCGGCGAUACUGCCCCGCACGUCGUAGUUGGAUACGAAUAGGCCUCCGGGCCACGCACCUCAGCAGGCUGGCGACGGCGCCCCGGGAGAAACCCUGGGGCGCUGGCUGGCGGAUUGUAAUGUCACCACGCGCGGGGAUGAAUCCUCUGCAGACGACUGAAGUGACCAAGCGGGUCGUGUACGCGGUCGAGUAGCCUAGUUGUUACGAGUCGCUGAGCGUCAGCCCGAC
This 373-nucleotide ribosomal RNA is filed under the name Stephanopyxis turris. RNAcentral's name for it is "partial Eukaryotic large subunit ribosomal RNA". It matches the Rfam family "Eukaryotic large subunit ribosomal RNA", at positions 3009 to 3387 of the family's 3401-position model. Lineage: Eukaryota; Bacillariophyta; Melosirophyceae; Stephanopyxales; Stephanopyxidaceae. The record is from RNAcentral.